AUCAUGUCGCAGUGUUGCCUGGAUAAAAAUGUUAGAAGUGCAGGUCCUGCGUAUUUUGCUAAUGUUGCUAUUAAGAUCAAUGCCAAGUUUGGAGGAAGAAACUUAGAAUUUGCUAAUCCCAAAGAAAGCUUGUCGGGUGUUACAAUUGAACCAACAAUUAUAUUUGGUGCUGAUGUUACUCACCCUCCCGCUCUAGAUGAUACCGCCCCUUCCAUUGCUUCUGUUGUUGCCUCCCAAGACUGGCCCAAGGUGGCUAACUAUAAUGGGAUUGUCCGUGCACAAGGUCAUCGUAAAGAGCUCAUCAAUGGCCUGGAAGACAUUGUCAAGGAACUCCUACUUGCAUUCAAGGAGAGGUCUAAGCGGAGACCCAAGCAGCUGAUCUUCCAAUUGCACCCAUAUAUACAUGCAAUUGUUUUCAUGUUUCAAUGAAAAAUCAAACAUUAAUUCAUGUUCGUGCUUCCUGGUUGUAACGUUUCUUUCUUUUUCUUCUUCUUGCAACCUUAAUUUCAACUUCUUAUAGUUAGAACUUUUCUGUCAUGUUCCUCUUGUUGGAAACUCUGAAUGAUGUGGCAUGUAAAUCCUCAACGUUAACC
Long non-coding RNA from Zea mays, 593 nucleotides. RefSeq lists it as uncharacterized. The transcript has 4 exons. NCBI's taxonomy places the organism in Eukaryota, Viridiplantae, Streptophyta, Magnoliopsida, Poales, Poaceae. The record is from RefSeq and is a predicted model, not a curated record.